CAUAUAAAGUGAUUGUGAAGUGUGAACUGAUACUUUAUUAAUCACAUAAAGGUUCAUAUAUCUCUACACAACGUGUCGAAGAUUAAAACUAUAGAUAGGAAAAGAUCUUUAUAGAUAUACAACACUACCAUAUCCAUACUAUCACUUGUAAAUUUGGUUGACUAUGUUAGGAAAGCCUAACACAAUGACAAUGAACCGAGAAAGACACAUACCCGAAACUCUUUUUAUAUGGAAAUUAGCAAAAUCAUCAUAUAAUAUAGUCCAGAAAUUGAAAUAGGAAGAGGUUUAGAUUACAUAAUUAAACUGGAUAAACUAAAAAUAUAAGACAUAACCACAAAUCAAAGAUUUGUGACUGAGAGAGAAGUCAUGAGAACAACAUCAUCAGUAAAGACGAAAGAGAUAUAACAUUGUUGGCAUUGUCGUCUUCGUCCAAAUAGAUGCUGUCUAGAACUGCUUGUGAUCCAUCCAAGGAAAAUUUGUUUCCUCACCAUACUUCAUCAUCUGUUCAAUGAAUCCUUGG
This 520-nucleotide long non-coding RNA is filed under the name Capsella rubella. Its description in RNAcentral is "long non-coding RNA (CRUB_LNC000030)". The record is from RNAcentral. Lineage: Eukaryota; Viridiplantae; Streptophyta; Magnoliopsida; Brassicales; Brassicaceae.